RNAcentral lists this ribosomal RNA (514 nucleotides) under uncultured soil bacterium. RNAcentral's name for it is "bacterial SSU rRNA". It matches the Rfam family "Bacterial small subunit ribosomal RNA", at positions 26 to 537 of the family's 1533-position model. The record is from RNAcentral.
AGGAUGAACGCUGGCGGCGUGCUUAACACAUGCAAGUCGAACGAUGAAGCCGGAGCUUGCUCUGGUGGAUUAGUGGCGAACGGGUGAGUAACACGUGAGUAACCUGCCCUUGACUCUGGGAUAAGCGUUGGAAACGACGUCUAAUACCGGAUACGACGCGCGAAGGCAUCUUCUGCGCGUGGAAAGAAUUUUCGGCAAGGAUGGACUCGCGGCCUAUCAGCUAGUUGGUGAGGUAACGGCCCACCAAGGCGACGACGGGUAGCCGGCCUGAGAGGGUGACCGGCCACACUGGGACUGAGACACGGCCCAGACUCCUACGGGAGGCAGCAGUGGGGAAUAUUGCACAAUGGGCGCAAGCCUGAUGCAGCAACGCCGCGUGAGGGACGACGGCCUUCGGGUUGUAAACCGUUCUUUAGUACGGAAGAAGACGAAAGUGACGGUACCUGACAAGAAAAGCACCGGACUAACGUACGUCGACCGAGACCGAGGCCCGACGGUUAAACGUCGUUACGGA